Molecule: ribosomal RNA, 449 nt
Filed under: uncultured organism
Description: partial 16S ribosomal RNA
Rfam family: Bacterial small subunit ribosomal RNA
Source: RNAcentral
CACUCCUACGGGAGGCAGCAGUGGGGAAUAUUGGACAAUGGGCGCAAGCCUGAUCCAGCCAUGCCGCGUGAGUGAUGAAGGCCCUAGGGUUGUAAAGCUCUUUCACCGGUGAAGAUAAUGACGGUAACCGGAGAAGAAGCCCCGGCUAACUUCGUGCCAGCAGCCGCGGUAAUACGAAGGGGGCUAGCGUUGUUCGGAUUUACUGGGCGUAAAGCGCACGUAGGCGGACUAUUAAGUCAGGGGUGAAAUCCCGGGGCUCAACCCCGGAACUGCCUUUGAUACUGGUAGUCUUGAGUUCGAGAGAGGUGAGUGGAAUUCCGAGUGUAGAGGUGAAAUUCGUAGAUAUUCGGAGGAACACCAGUGGCGAAGGCGGCUCACUGGCUCGAUACUGACGCUGAGGUGCGAAAGCGUGGGGAGCAAACAGUAUUAGAAACCCCUGUAGUCCCAUG